This 382-nucleotide ribosomal RNA is filed under the name Viridivora seguyi. RNAcentral describes it as "partial 16S ribosomal RNA". The record is from RNAcentral. Lineage: Eukaryota; Metazoa; Arthropoda; Insecta; Diptera; Mycetophilidae.
UCGAAGGUAGCAUAAUCAGUAGUUUUUUAAUUGAAAACUUGUAUGAAUGGUUUAAUGAGAUAUUUUCUGUUUCAUAAAAAUAUUAAUAGAAAUUAAUUUUUUAGUUAAAAAGCUAAAAUAGAUUUAAAAGACGAGAAGACCCUAUAGAGUUUUAUAUAAUUUAUUUUAUAAUUUAUUUAUAAAAUUUUAAGGUUUAAAAUAAUUUUUAUUUUGUUGGGGUGACAGUAAAAUUUUAUUAUCUUUUAUUAUAUAAUAACAAUGAUUAUUGAUUAAUUGAUCCAUUUUUAAUGAUUAAAAGAUUAAAUUACCUUAGGGAUAACAGCGUAAUUUUUUUAGAGAGUUCAUAUCGAUAAAAAUUUUUGCGACCUCGAUGUUGGAUUAA